AUUGAUCCCGUCGGACCUUACUGCUAUCGAGAUGGGACUAACCCAGGCCAGUCGAACGACCCGGACUAUGGCGGGGAGUGGCGCACUGCUCAGUAACACGUAGCUAACCUAACCUCAAGACGGAAAUAACCCCGGGAAACUGGGGUCAAUGUCCGAUAGAUGUGAAUUCCUGGAAUGGUGUCACAUCCAAACGUCAACACACCAUGUUGUGCGAACGCUUGAGGAUGGGGCUGCGGCCGAUCAGGCUGUUGGUGGGGUAAUGGCCCACCAAACCUUUGACCGGUAUGGGCCAUGAGAGUGGUAGCCCAGAGAUGGACACUGAGACAAGGGUCCAGGCCCUACGGGGCGCAGCCGGUACGAAACCUCCACAAUGCACGCAAGUGCGAUGGGGUUAUCUCGAGUGCUAUCUGAAAAAGGUAGCUUUUCCAUGGUCUAAAUAGCCGUGGGAAUAAGGGGGGGGCAAGACUGGUGUCAGCCGCCGCGGUAACACCAGCCCCCCGAGUGGUAGGGAUGUUUAUUUGGCCUAAAGCGUCCGUAGCCGGCUAAGUAAAUUUCUCGUUAAAUCCAACGUCCUAAGCGUUGGGCUUCGAGAAAGACUGCUUAGCUAGAGGGUGGGAGAGGUCAGCGGUAUUCCUGGGGUAGGGGCGAAAUCCAUUGAACCCAGGAGGACCACCAGUGGCGAAGGCUGCUGACUAGAACACGCCUGACGGUGAGGGACGAAAGCUGGGGUAGCGAAUCGGAUUAGAUACCCGAGUAGUCCCAGCCGUAAACGAUGCAGACUAGGUGUUGGGUUGGCCACGCGCCGACUCAGUGCCACAGGGAAGCCAUUAAGUCUGCCGCCUGGGAAGUACGGCCGCAAGGCUGAAACUUAAAGGAAUUGGCGGGGGAGCACCACCAGGCGUGAAGCCUGCGGUUUAAUUGGAGUCAACGCCGGGAACCUUACCGGGAGCGACAGCAGAGUGAAGGCCAGGCUAAAGGUCUUGCCAGACGAGCUGAGAGGAGGUGCAUGGCCGUCGCCAGUUCGUGCCGUGAGGUGUCCUCUUAAGUGAGGUAACGAACGAGACCCGCGCCGCAUGUUGCUAACAAGUCCUAAAGGGAUGUUGAGCACUCUUGCGGGACCGCAGCCGACAAGGCUGAGGAAGGUGCGGGCAACGGCAGGUCAGUAUGCCCCGAAUCUCCCGGGCCACACGCGGGCUGCAAUGGUAGAGACAGAGGGCUGCAACCCCGAAAGGGGAAGCCAAUCCCUAAACUCUACCUCAGUUGGGAUUGAGGGCUGCAACCCGCCCUCAUGAACAUGGAAUGCCUAGUAACUACCAGUCAUCAUCUGGCGGUGAAUACGUCCCUGCUCCUUGCACACACUGCCCGUCGAACCACCCGAAUGAGGUUGGGGUGAGGCAUGAUCGAAUGUUGGUCGUGUCGAACCUGGGCCUUGUAAGGAGGGUUAAGUCGUAACAAGGUG
Molecule: ribosomal RNA, 1459 nt
Filed under: metagenome
Description: bacterial SSU rRNA
Rfam family: Archaeal small subunit ribosomal RNA
Source: RNAcentral